AGAGAUGUGUGCUGCACACAUCCUUUCUCCGCCUAGCUUGGUUUUCACUCUUGGUGGUCGCAGACAUCUUGGGGGCUACUUGAAGGAACUCUAAGCCGACCAGAGGCUGGGCUGGACUCGCCGUUUGGCGCCCAGCCGGAGACCCCAGGGCCACCCUCCCCGGUUCCAUCCUGGGAGAGAAGAAACUUCCACUGUCCCAGUCUCUCCUGUGGUGACUUCUUUUGCUCAAGGGUUCACAAGGGCAGCAGACUGAUCUGCACAAGAGGGACUGAGCCUGGCUGCGGCCGCACCUGAUGCCUGUGCACACCUGUCCCUGGUGGUCUCUCCUGUGGUGACUUCUUUUGCUCAAGGGUUCACAAGGGCAGCAGACUGAUCUGCACAAGAGGGACUGAGCCUGGCUGCGGCCGCACCUGAUGCCUGUGCACACCUGUCCCUGGUGCAGGCCCUUCCCCCGCAGCCCCGUGACCUUGUCCUGUGAGGCUCACGGUGCCUGCUCCUUCUCAGAGUCCUCAUUUCUCCCUUUAACGCACGCCCUGUCAGCGCCUCCGUCUAGCCCGUGUCCUCCAGACCUUCGAGGUCAGGGGCCUCAAUUCCUGGCACAGCCCCUCCACUCCAGGCCUCCCAGAAACAGACUAGAGCAUCAGGAUGUGCGCCGCCUGGGGUCCCACAGAGUGGUGCCCCCUUUUAGUGUCUUCUAGGCCCCUUAGUGACAGACUACAGAAAAUACCUCUCAGGUCACAGGUCACCCCUCUUUGGUGAAGAGUCCAUAGAAUUCUCUGCUGCGCUUUGCAAGCACUUUCUCUUCUGCACGUUUGGAACCUACCCCGGCCUGUCGUGUCUUUCUCCUGGCCUCCUCGCGAGCCGAACCUACUGUCCGGUCCCGGGACCCCCUGCCCAGGGUCAGAGGGGCGCCUACCUAGCUCACGGUCUUGGGCCGGAGGGAAUGGAGGAGGGAGCGGGGUCGACCGCUCAGCUGUCCGCCCAGUUUCGGAGGCGGCCACGCGAGGAUCAACUGUGCAACGGGUGGGG
RNAcentral lists this long non-coding RNA (1029 nucleotides) under Homo sapiens (human). Its description in RNAcentral is "HSALNT0170851". Lineage: Eukaryota; Metazoa; Chordata; Mammalia; Primates; Hominidae. The record is from RNAcentral.